Molecule: transfer RNA, 74 nt
Filed under: Ursus americanus (American black bear)
Lineage: Eukaryota; Metazoa; Chordata; Mammalia; Carnivora; Ursidae
Description: tRNA-Val
Rfam family: tRNA (bases 1-66)
About the family: Transfer RNA (tRNA) molecules are approximately 80 nucleotides in length. Their secondary structure includes four short double-helical elements and three loops (D, anti-codon, and T loops). Further hydrogen bonds mediate the characteristic L-shaped molecular structure. tRNAs have two regions of fundamental functional importance: the anti-codon, which is responsible for specific mRNA codon recognition, and the 3' end, to which the tRNAs corresponding amino acid is attached (by aminoacyl-tRNA synthetases). tRNAs cope with the degeneracy of the genetic code in two manners: having more than one tRNA (with a specific anti-codon) for a particular amino acid; and 'wobble' base-pairing, i.e. permitting non-standard base-pairing at the 3rd anti-codon position.
Source: RNAcentral
CAAAGUGUAGCUUAAACAAAGUAUCUGGCUUACACCCAGAAGAUUUCACGCAUGUGACCGCUUUGAACUCAGAA